AUACUUACCAGGCAGAGAAAAUACUAUGACCGUGAUGGUGUUUUUUUCCCAGGGUGAGGCUUAUCCAUUGUCCUCUGAAUAUUCAGAUCUCCGUGCUUUCCCCAAAUUCAGAAAGCAGGACUGCAGAGUUUGUUGUAGUAGUGGAAUGUGGUGAAUAUUAUUU
This 163-nucleotide small nuclear RNA is filed under the name Microtus ochrogaster (prairie vole). RNAcentral describes it as "U1 spliceosomal RNA (ENSMOCG00000003311.1)". It matches the Rfam family "U1 spliceosomal RNA". From Rfam's summary of the family: U1 is a small nuclear RNA (snRNA) component of the spliceosome (involved in pre-mRNA splicing). Lineage: Eukaryota; Metazoa; Chordata; Mammalia; Rodentia; Cricetidae. The record is from RNAcentral.